GCCCGGGUGGCGGAAUUGGUAGACGCAGCAGACUCAAAAUCUGCCGGGGGCAACCUCGUGGGGGUUCGAUUCCCUUCCCGGGUA
RNAcentral lists this transfer RNA (84 nucleotides) under Bacteroidota bacterium. RNAcentral's name for it is "Bacteroidetes bacterium (activated sludge metagenome) tRNA-Leu". It matches the Rfam family "tRNA". Rfam says of the family: Transfer RNA (tRNA) molecules are approximately 80 nucleotides in length. Their secondary structure includes four short double-helical elements and three loops (D, anti-codon, and T loops). Lineage: Bacteria; Pseudomonadati; Bacteroidota. The record is from RNAcentral. RNAcentral also lists the same sequence under 1 other name.